This 420-nucleotide ribosomal RNA is filed under the name uncultured bacterium. Its description in RNAcentral is "bacterial SSU rRNA". It matches the Rfam family "Bacterial small subunit ribosomal RNA", at positions 356 to 773 of the family's 1533-position model. The record is from RNAcentral.
AAGGAAUAUUGGUCAAUGGACGCAAGUCUGAACCAGCCAUGCCGCGUGGAGGAUGAAGGUCCUCUGGAUUGUAAACUUCUUUUAUCUGGGACGAAACACUUCUUUUCUAAGAGGCCUGACGGUACCAGAUGAAUAAGCACCGGCUAACUCCGUGCCAGCAGCCGCGGUAAUACGGAGGGUGCAAGCGUUAUCCGGAUUCACUGGGUUUAAAGGGUGCGUAGGUGGGUAUGUAAGUCAGUGGUGAAAUCCCCGAGCUUAACUUGGGAACUGCCAUUGAUACUAUAUAUCUUGAAUACCGUAGAGGUAAGCGGAAUAUGUCAUGUAGCGGUGAAAUGCUUAGAUAUGACAUGGAACACCAAUUGCGAAGGCAGCUUACUAUGCGGUGAUUGACACUGAGGCACGAAAGCGAGGGUAGCAAAC